This 2596-nucleotide long non-coding RNA is filed under the name Homo sapiens (human). Its description in RNAcentral is "non-protein coding lnc-SCARA3-1:1". The stretch from base 484 to 566 matches the Rfam family "mir-3622 microRNA precursor family". The record is from RNAcentral. Lineage: Eukaryota; Metazoa; Chordata; Mammalia; Primates; Hominidae.
AUUGAGAUGAUGUUCUAGAAAAACUAAAAUGAAUCUAUAGUUACAGAAAUCAGGUAAGUGGUUACCUGGGAUGGGAUGGUUAGGAUGGGAUUAACUACAAAAGAGAAAUAGGGAAGUUUCUGGGGUGCUAUAAAUAUUUUGAUUGAUUUAACAGUUACUGAGUGUAUAUAUUUGUUAAAAUUCAUCAAAGUCUACAUUGAAGUGUAUGCAUUGUAUUAUAUGUAAAUUAUGCCUCAGUACAGUAGAUUUUUUUAAAAUGUUCUCGUAGCUCCCCAUUGAACACAGGUGUCAUCAUGGCAAGACAUUUCCUAGCUGAGAGAUGCUUUUUCAUUCUUUCAUUCAAAAAGUAGCUUUUUCUUUCCUUCCUUCCUUCCUCUCUUUCUUUCUCUUUCUCUCUUUCUUUCUUUUCUUUCUUUCUCUUUUUUUUAGUGGCAAGGUCUUGUUUUGUCACCCAGGCUGGAGUGCAGUGGUGUGAUCAUAGCCAAUAGAGGGUGCACAGGCACGGGAGCUCAGGUGAGGCAGGGAGCUGAGCUCACCUGACCUCCCAUGCCUGUGCACCCUCUAUUAUAUCACUCGUAUGUCUACCAUUGUUUGCAGAUCGUGAGCUGCUUGAUGACUGAUGCUAGGGUGACCAACCAACCAAGUAUGCCCCAAACCAAAGGGUUUCCUGGGCUUCCUGAGCUAAGGGAUGUUCAGUGCUAAAACUGGGAGGCCCAGGCAAACGGGGAAAAUGGGUCACCUUAUCUGAGACCUUGUGCUACUCAUCUCUGAAAGCAUUCCCAGGCUUAGCCCCCUAUCAGGUGGGUGAUGUAUGCUCAGUAAAUGUUUCCUGAAAGGCUAGAAUAUGUGUGAGUAGGACACUUGAAAUUCUCCUUUGGUUUCCCAUGCAAACUGAGUCCUACAGUGAGAAAGCCAAGCGUAGUGGCAGAUCCUGCCCCAGACACCAGGCUCGCUUGGGUCCUGCCUAGGGCGCCAGCCUCUCUCCCAUGUCAUUGGUGUUCUGGAAAGCAGAUAAACAACUGACUUCAAGUCCUAUUUAAGUUUUAUGGGGUAGCCAAGGUCUUCCAGGGCUCCAUCUCCAGGAAGCCCCCUCCCUGCAGCCUGGCUGGCUUUUCUUCUUCUUCUGGUGAAGUCAUCCGACCCCAAGUGGCCCACAGUUUCCUUUCUCUCCACACCUCCCAAACCCGCUGCCCAGUCCUGGCACUGCCUGGGGUUACUGCUGACCUUUCAGUGCUGUUUGCUCAGAAAGUGCCUUUAUGUCAACACAAACAGCCUUCAGGUUUGCCAGGGCCUGGCUCCUUUUCUCCCUGGGGUCCAGGGUAGAAAAACAAUAACCAGUGGGAAGGAGAGCGAGCCAUAGGGGAGUGACGCGUCCCUGGACCUUGGGUCUCUGUCCUCUCAGCCCUGUCCCUCAGGGCCUCCUUUGUCAGAACUCAGUUCUGUGGGGAGAGGGUACUGGGGAGGCAGCGGCUUUAAACAAUGCCACAGUGUCUGGCAGGGAGCUGCGUGCUUGACCUGAUUAGGCUCAGUGAGCCCGGGGGAGGGAGGGAGUGAAGGCAGGCUUGGGAAAGUGUUUUCCAUCCCCACCCAACAGACUUUGCUUCCUUGUAUCUCUGCCAAGACCUCUUUUUGGGGAGGAAAGGCCGAAUCGCCUCAUUUCUACAGGGGCACCUUGGCCUCGCUCCUCUAAACCUGGGUAAGCUCUUUGACCUGCCUGUCCCCCUCCCUCUUGUCUUUCCUUCCCACCAACCAGCUCCCAAACAGAAAGUGUUUUUCACACUCGCAGCUCUCCCUCCUCAGGCCCUGCCAGGCCCGAAGCUGGGCCCAGAGGCCAGCUGGCACCCACAUGAAAGGCCUUCCUGUCGAGAACUGGCAUGGAACCCAGGGCCUCAAGGCUGCCCACACCACAGCCCUGGCCCAGGGUCCAGAGCACAGGGCCACGGAAACUUGGCCACAAGGCUCUGGGGAGAAAAACAGCCUGAGCCGCACAGGAGAGGAGCCUCCCAUCCCCGCAGCCUGGCUGGGCACAUCAAGGGAGAAAGCGCAGUGCCCAGAAUCCUUUGAACAUGAAGCCGCAGCACCUGCACCUGGCAGAGGACCCGGGAACCAGGGAUUCGUGCUGGGGGCAGCACUUGGGGUUUGUUAGUGCAGGUGGAGAGAAAACAGGAGAGUAGCAAUUUCCAACCCAUCAGCAGAAAAAAGUGAAAGCUGAGAAGUCAGGGUGAGGCUGGAGGGGACAGGAUGGGGUGGCUGGGUGGGCCCAGAAUUGAGAUCUGAUUUGCAAAAUGGUGGCAAAAGGCAACAGACUGCGGCUCCCUUGAGAGAAAAACCUGGUCUCCCAACCGGCAAUGGGUGUGGUUAUCAAACGCACAGCCAUGCCUGUUCCCAGGAUGCAGGUGCAGUCUGGAUAAACUGAGACUAGGGUUGGGGGGGAUCUGUUCAAGGUUGCACAGCACCUUCAAGAUGGGGCUUGAACUACAAACCCAGGACUCCGGACCUGGAAAGAAUCUCCUAGGAGGUUCUGGAGGGUUCAUUCUUGGACAGAAAUCUGGGAGAACCUACAGCAAAAUGGCAACAAUGUGAUUGUGGGUAACUU